AGACGUAUCCUACGGGAGUCAACAGUGGGGAAUAUUGCACAAUGGGCGCAAGCCUGAUGCAGCGACGCCGCGUGCGGGAUGGAGGCCUUCGGGUUGUAAACCGCUUUUGUUCAAGGGCAAGGCACGGUCUUUGGCCGUGUUGAGUGGAUUGUUCGAAUAAGCACCGGCUAACUACGUGCC
Molecule: ribosomal RNA, 180 nt
Filed under: uncultured bacterium
Lineage: Bacteria
Description: partial 16S ribosomal RNA
Rfam family: Bacterial small subunit ribosomal RNA
Source: RNAcentral